RNAcentral lists this ribosomal RNA (239 nucleotides) under uncultured bacterium. Its description in RNAcentral is "partial 16S ribosomal RNA". It matches the Rfam family "Bacterial small subunit ribosomal RNA", at positions 1263 to 1500 of the family's 1533-position model. The record is from RNAcentral.
UGGCGCUAAUCUCUUAAAACCAAUUCUCAGUUCGGAUUGCAGGCUGCAACUCGCCUGCAUGAAGUCGGAAUCGCUAGUAAUCGCGGAUCAGCACGCCGCAGUGAAUACGUUCCCGGGCCUUGUACACACCGCCCGUCACACCACAGAAGUUGGGAGUACCCAAAGUAGGUUGCCUAACCGCAAGGAGGGCGCUUCCUAAGGUAAGACCGAUNACUGGGGUGAAGUCGUAACAAGGUACC